CACCAGAGUCUUGCAUCACCUCAGUUCAACGUCUGAUGAAAUAUCCAGCAAUCUGAUAGAAAGUGACAUUAUGAAGCAGAAAACUCAAUAGUAUGGCAACAUUACCUGUGCGGUUCGCAGCAGCUCGGUUGCUCUCCCCCGAACCUCCUGCAGUGGACACGACCGGGACAGCCGAAGCAGAUGUAGGAGUGUUUGUUUACUCAGCUGUGCCGAACCGGGCCGGUCCAGUUCUAAACACACCAGAACCCCUCGGCUGAGCUCCUCCAGAGCCGCUGCUCGCUCCUCUUCGUCUCUGCUGCACAGCCGUGCUAAGCUUUUGUCAGUCGGGCCAACAUCGGACUCUGACUCGGACCGGUGGCGACGUGAGCGGCCAGAACUGGACCCUCGUCCUGGUGUGCUUUCUCCGUUAGCAUGGCAGGUAAAGCCUGCCGCAAGAUUACUGGCCAUCUCUUGUACUGGUCCCGAAGCACAUCGGAGUGACUCCUGAAGUACCUGGGUUGAGCUACCUAACGUCCCCGCUAGCUACUGUUAGCAGAAGUAUUGGCCUAACCUUAAACGUUCGCUUGAUGCAAACGUUGGUUUUCUUAAGUGCCGGAUACAGGAGGUGUCAGUUUCUUGUGUUCCACCAAUUAUGAACGCAGACGGACCACCUUCAAAGGUCUCUCAUACAUACCCGGCUGCCUGACAGUAAAAACGGUCUACCGGUUAUUGUUGUUGGUUCGCUAAGCUAGUUUCGUUCAGCUCUCCUGAGUCCGGAGUUUUUUUUUUCCCUCUUAUGCAACGUCAUUGUGACGUGACUGAAAAUGUUCACUAAUGAAAAAUAUCUAUUUCUGCACCAUUCAACUAACCUUUUACUUAUUUAUGUAUUAUGAGGAGUGUGCUGGUUUCUGGCAUACACUUCUAUAAUUUGUUGCGGAUUUAACUGGUUUUAUUUAGCUUUUUUGUGAAGUGUGGCCUUCUGCAUUUAAAUGCUUGAGUUAAAUGUUACUAAAUGCUAUGCUAAAACUAAUAUAUUACUAAUAGUAAAUAAUAAAUACAAUAAUGAAAAUAUAUAAAACCUGUUUGCAGUUUUCAAAAAAAAUACUAGUUUAUAUGACUACUACUACUAUAAGUUUACUGUAGCAAAGGUAGUAUUGCACAUUAAUCUUUUAAUUGAUCAAUUAUUAUGUAGUCUAUAAAAUGUCAACACUAAUGAAAAAUGCCCAUCAUACUUACCAGAGCCUAAGGCAAUGUCUUAAAUUGACAAAUUUACUGUUUACAUUACUUCCAUGGCUGCACUCUAAUGCAGGAAUAAACCUUUUCUUGACAGGGAACCCCAAAAAUUCACACUAGAGUAUGGAUCCUUCUUUGUUUGGUCCUGAUCACUGCCAUCUAGGAUGAAUUUUACUACUUCAAAGACCCUAUGCAGAAUUACUUUAAAGUUUUGGAGAUCUUUGGGUUCACCAUUUUACUGGAAAUACCUGUUAAGCCCUUGUGGUCCUUGGAGCCCACAUUUUGGAGCCAUUGGAAUAUUCUGUUAAAUUGUUAUAUUAUUUAUAUUUAAUUAACUAAAACUGUGUAAAAGUGA
Molecule: long non-coding RNA, 1567 nt
Organism: Sander lucioperca (pikeperch)
Lineage: Eukaryota; Metazoa; Chordata; Actinopteri; Perciformes; Percidae
Exons: 2
Source: RefSeq, a predicted model, not a curated record